AGGAGCCGUGCGAGAUGAAAGUCUCAUGCACGGUUUUGAAUGAGAGAAAGAAGUGAGGAAUCCUCUUUUCGACUUCUGACUCUCC
Non-coding RNA from Corchorus capsularis, 85 nucleotides. Lineage: Eukaryota; Viridiplantae; Streptophyta; Magnoliopsida; Malvales; Malvaceae. The record is from Rfam.